GGCCCGGGCCGACGCCGCAGCCCGCGUUGGGGCGCACGGCCCUCUCCCCGCCGGGCUUUGUGAGGCUGGACCGGCCCGGGUCGGCUGAACCUGCAUCCGGGUCCCUCGCUACCUUCAGUCCUGCGGGCUCCUCCUCCCUCGAGCAGUGAGACGCCUGAGGAGACGAGAAAUGGCGGCGGGAGGCGUCCACCUGGGCAUCUCCUCCUUUUCACGCGAGCGGGCCCCUCGGGAACUGCCCCUCUGAAGCGCUUCACCUGAGACGGCGGAGGAUGCUUCGGGGGCAGAGCCGCUUUAACGGGGCGUGAAGCUGGGGCCGGAGCCGGAAGGACGGGCGGGAAGGGGACGCCGCUGAGGUGCAGGGUUGGUUCCCUAGCGAUGGUGCCAUCUGAGAGACCUCUGUCUCAGGAAAGCCCCCAGGAAUGUUGGUGACUGAUUGAAAGCCAACCAUGGUAUGAUUUCUCUCGGGCUGGCCAUACGUUUGAGUUCUUGCCAACGAAAUGGAAGCGGAAAAGCUGCAGAGUUGGUGGUGAACGCGUCAUGCCGAUGAUCGGUUGUGGCUCUGGGCACCUGAAACCUGUGUAGUUUUGUUAACCAGUAUUCCCCCCCCCCCCAAUAAAUUCAAUAAAAGGGGUGGGAAGAAAUUGAAGAUACAAAUAAGUGGAAACAUAUAAAAAUAAUUUCUACAAAUUUGUAAAAAAAAAAAAAAAUUCUGCAGAGUGGGUCUUUUGAAAAGAAUUGCCCAUUCCUAAUAAAAGGGGCAAAUUCAGCAGACAUGCUCCUUAACCCUUAGUUCUUUCUGCCUGAAACAUGCUCCUGAUGCACUGAGUAAUACAGCAUCCAUUUUGAUUUUUUUUUUGACAAUGAAACCACAAACAAGAUAAAUGCCACCAUAAAGUUGAUAGUACAUUAGUAUAAGGUGUGGGUGGAUCACUGAUACAUCCUUGAGCAGCUUCUAUCCCCUGCUUAUGUAAGAAAAAUCCCUUUUCCUUAAUCCACACUUAUAUUUCCAUUAUUUGUACCCUAACUGAUUCAGCUUUUCUUUUGAUAAUUACUUGUAAGUUAACUGUCAACUAUGCUUUUAAGACCACAGAGGACACCUAACAGUUCUUGUAAUUGGAAAACUACCACAUAUUCUGACAUUUAAAUAUUUUUUUAAUCAGUU
Molecule: long non-coding RNA, 1162 nt
Organism: Eptesicus fuscus (big brown bat)
Lineage: Eukaryota; Metazoa; Chordata; Mammalia; Chiroptera; Vespertilionidae
Exons: 2
Source: RefSeq, a predicted model, not a curated record